UACGGGGGGAGCAAGCGUUGUUCGGAUUUACUGGGCGUAAAGGGCGCGUAGGCGGCCACCGCAAGUCGACUGUGAAAUCUCCGGGCUUAACCCGGAAAGGUCAGCCGAUACUGCGGGGCUAGAGUGCAGAAGGGGCAGCUGGAAUUCUCGGUGUAGCGGUGAAAUGCGUAGAUAUCGAGAGGAACACCUGCGGCGAAGGCGGGUUGCUGGGCUGACACUGACGCUGAUGCGCGAAAGCCAGGGGAGCGAACGGG
This 254-nucleotide ribosomal RNA is filed under the name uncultured bacterium. Its description in RNAcentral is "partial 16S ribosomal RNA". It matches the Rfam family "Bacterial small subunit ribosomal RNA", at positions 524 to 776 of the family's 1533-position model. The record is from RNAcentral.